This 427-nucleotide ribosomal RNA is filed under the name uncultured bacterium. RNAcentral's name for it is "partial 16S ribosomal RNA". It matches the Rfam family "Bacterial small subunit ribosomal RNA", at positions 355 to 774 of the family's 1533-position model. The record is from RNAcentral.
UGGGGAAUAUUGGACAAUGGGCGAAAGCCUGAUCCAGCCAUGCCGCGUGUGUGAAGAAGGUCUUCGGAUUGUAAAGCACUUUAAGUUGGGAGGAAGGGUUGUAGAUUAAUACUCUGCAAUUUUGACGUUACCGACAGAAUAAGCACCGGCUAACUCUGUGCCAGCAGCCGCGGUAAUACAGAGGGGGCAAGCGUUAAUCGGAAUUACUGGGCGUAAAGCGCGCGUAGGUGGUUUGUUAAGUUGGAUGUGAAAGCCCCGGGCUCAACCUGGGAACUGCAUCCAAAACUGGCAAGCUAGAGUACGGUAGAGGGUGGUGGAAUUUCCUGUGUAGCGGUGAAAUGCGUAGAUAUAGGAAGGAACACCAGUGGCGAAGGCGACCACCUGGACUAAUACUGACACUGAGGUGCGAAAGCGUGGGGAGCAAACA